GGGUUGUGAGGUUAAGCGACUAAGCGUACACGGUGGAUGCCCUGGCAGUCAGAGGCGAUGAAGGACGUGCUAAUCUGCGAUAAGCGUCGGUAAGGUGAUAUGAACCGUUAUAACCGGCGAUUUCCGAAUGGGGAAACCCAGUGUGAUUCGUCACACUAUCAUUAACUGAAUCCAUAGGUUAAUGAGGCGAACCGGGGGAACUGAAACAUCUAAGUACCCCGAGGAAAAGAAAUCAACCGAGAUUCCCCCAGUAGCGGCGAGCGAACGGGGAGCAGCCCAGAGCCUGAAUCAGUGUGUGUGUUAGUGGAAGCGUCUGGAAAGGCGCGCGAUACAGGGUGACAGCCCCGUACACAAAAAUGCACAUGCUGUGAGCUCGAUGAGUAGGGCGGGACACGUGGUAUCCUGUCUGAAUAUGGGGGGACCAUCCUCCAAGGCUAAAUACUCCUGACUGACCGAUAGUGAACCAGUACCGUGAGGGAAAGGCGAAAAGAACCCCGGCGAGGGGAGUGAAAAAGAACCUGAAACCGUGUACGUACAAGCAGUGGGAGCACAGAGCAAUCUGUGUGACUGCGUACCUUUUGUAUAAUGGGUCAGCGACUUAUAUUCUGUAGCAAGGUUAACCGAAUAGGGGAGCCGAAGGGAAACCGAGUCUUAACUGGGCGUUAAGUUGCAGGGUAUAGACCCGAAACCCGGUGAUCUAGCCAUGGGCAGGUUGAAGGUUGGGUAACACUAACUGGAGGACCGAACCGACUAAUGUUGAAAAAUUAGCGGAUGACUUGUGGCUGGGGGUGAAAGGCCAAUCAAACCGGGAGAUAGCUGGUUCUCCCCGAAAGCUAUUUAGGUAGCGCCUCGUGAAUUCAUCUCCGGGGGUAGAGCACUGUUUCGGCAAGGGGGUCAUCCCGACUUACCAACCCGAUGCAAACUGCGAAUACCGGAGAAUGUUAUCACGGGAGACACACGGCGGGUGCUAACGUCCGUCGUGAAGAGGGAAACAACCCAGACCGCCAGCUAAGGUCCCAAAGUCAUGGUUAAGUGGGAAACGAUGUGGGAAGGCCCAGACAGCCAGGAUGUUGGCUUAGAAGCAGCCAUCAUUUAAAGAAAGCGUAAUAGCUCACUGGUCGAGUCGGCCUGCGCGGAAGAUGUAACGGGGCUAAACCAUGCACCGAAGCUGCGGCAGCGACGCUUAUGCGUUGUUGGGUAGGGGAGCGUUCUGUAAGCCUGCGAAGGUGUGCUGUGAGGCAUGCUGGAGGUAUCAGAAGUGCGAAUGCUGACAUAAGUAACGAUAAAGCGGGUGAAAAGCCCGCUCGCCGGAAGACCAAGGGUUCCUGUCCAACGUUAAUCGGGGCAGGGUGAGUCGACCCCUAAGGCGAGGCCGAAAGGCGUAGUCGAUGGGAAACAGGUUAAUAUUCCUGUACUUGGUGUUACUGCGAAGGGGGGACGGAGAAGGCUAUGUUGGCCGGGCGACGGUUGUCCCGGUUUAAGCGUGUAGGCUGGUUUUCCAGGCAAAUCCGGAAAAUCAAGGCUGAGGCGUGAUGAUGAGGCACUACGGUGCUGAAGCAACAAAUGCCCUGCUUCCAGGAAAAGCCUCUAAGCAUCAGGUAACAUCAAAUCGUACCCCAAACCGACACAGGUGGUCAGGUAGAGAAUACCAAGGCGCUUGAGAGAACUCGGGUGAAGGAACUAGGCAAAAUGGUGCCGUAACUUCGGGAGAAGGCACGCUGAUAUGUAGGUGAAGUCCCUCGCGGAUGGAGCUGAAAUCAGUCGAAGAUACCAGCUGGCUGCAACUGUUUAUUAAAAACACAGCACUGUGCAAACACGAAAGUGGACGUAUACGGUGUGACGCCUGCCCGGUGCCGGAAGGUUAAUUGAUGGGGUCAGCGCAAGCGAAGCUCUUGAUCGAAGCCCCGGUAAACGGCGGCCGUAACUAUAACGGUCCUAAGGUAGCGAAAUUCCUUGUCGGGUAAGUUCCGACCUGCACGAAUGGCGUAAUGAUGGCCAGGCUGUCUCCACCCGAGACUCAGUGAAAUUGAACUCGCUGUGAAGAUGCAGUGUACCCGCGGCAAGACGGAAAGACCCCGUGAACCUUUACUAUAGCUUGACACUGAACAUUGAGCCUUGAUGUGUAGGAUAGGUGGGAGGCUUUGAAGUGUGGACGCCAGUCUGCAUGGAGCCGACCUUGAAAUACCACCCUUUAAUGUUUGAUGUUCUAACGUUGACCCGUGAUCCGGGUUGCGGACAGUGUCUGGUGGGUAGUUUGACUGGGGCGGUCUCCUCCUAAAGAGUAACGGAGGAGCACGAAGGUUGGCUAAUCCUGGUCGGACAUCAGGAGGUUAGUGCAAUGGCAUAAGCCAGCUUGACUGCGAGCGUGACGGCGCGAGCAGGUGCGAAAGCAGGUCAUAGUGAUCCGGUGGUUCUGAAUGGAAGGGCCAUCGCUCAACGGAUAAAAGGUACUCCGGGGAUAACAGGCUGAUACCGCCCAAGAGUUCAUAUCGACGGCGGUGUUUGGCACCUCGAUGUCGGCUCAUCACAUCCUGGGGCUGAAGUAGGUCCCAAGGGUAUGGCUGUUCGCCAUUUAAAGUGGUACGCGAGCUGGGUUUAGAACGUCGUGAGACAGUUCGGUCCCUAUCUGCCGUGGGCGCUGGAGAACUGAGGGGGGCUGCUCCUAGUACGAGAGGACCGGAGUGGACGCAUCACUGGUGUUCGGGUUGUCAUGCCAAUGGCACUGCCCGGUAGCUAAAUGCGGAAGAGAUAAGUGCUGAAAGCAUCUAAGCACGAAACUUGCCCCGAGAUGAGUUCUCCCUGACUCCUUGAGAGUCCUGAAGGAACGUUGAAGACGACGACGUUGAUAGGCCGGGUGUGUAAGCGCAGCGAUGCGUUGAGCUAACCGGUACUAAUGAACCGUGAGGCUUAACCUUACAACGCCGAAGGUGUUU
Molecule: ribosomal RNA, 2933 nt
Filed under: Escherichia coli
Lineage: Bacteria; Pseudomonadati; Pseudomonadota; Gammaproteobacteria; Enterobacterales; Enterobacteriaceae
Description: bacterial LSU rRNA
Rfam family: Bacterial large subunit ribosomal RNA
Source: RNAcentral